Molecule: ribosomal RNA, 253 nt
Filed under: uncultured bacterium
Lineage: Bacteria
Description: partial 16S ribosomal RNA
Rfam family: Bacterial small subunit ribosomal RNA
Source: RNAcentral
UACGUAGGGGGCUAGCGUUGUCCGGAUUUAUUGGGCGUAAAGAGCGUGUAGGCGGCCAAGUAGGUCCGGUGUGAAAACUCGAGGCUCAACCUCGAGAUGUCGGCGGAAACCAUCUGGCUAGAGUCCGGAAGAGGAGAGUGGAAUUCCCGGUGUAGCGGUGAAAUGCGCAGAUAUCGGGAAGAACACCCGUGGCGAAGGCGGCUCUCUGGGACGGUACUGACGCUGAGACGCGAAAGCGUGGGGAGCGAACAGG